AAGUAAUAUAAAAGUUGGAAGAACAGUCUCAGUUCAUGAAGUAGAGGUAUAUGAGAUUAAAUAAAGAAAAGAAAGAGUGAAACAGACAGAAAAACAGGAUUGAAAGUCAAACCCAAUAAGGAAAUAUUUCCCUAUAUACUAGUCAUUAGAACAGGGGUGAUAAAGAGAAACAUAAUUUAAAAUAUUUAUGCCUCUGUUAUAUAUUCAUGAGUGCAAAUUUAACAGACUCGGAAAUCUAGGCAAAAUUAGGUAGCAAACAUACAGGUGAUUUUUACAUGUUAAAAAAUCAGGAUCCAAUAAAAAACCAAAAUCUAAGGGAGGUUCUUUUUUCAGAGAUAAAAAUCAGGCUUGCU
RNAcentral lists this long non-coding RNA (353 nucleotides) under Homo sapiens (human). Its description in RNAcentral is "non-protein coding lnc-FAHD2B-3:2". Lineage: Eukaryota; Metazoa; Chordata; Mammalia; Primates; Hominidae. The record is from RNAcentral.